RNAcentral lists this ribosomal RNA (647 nucleotides) under Escherichia coli. Its description in RNAcentral is "partial 23S ribosomal RNA". It matches the Rfam family "Bacterial large subunit ribosomal RNA", at positions 612 to 1258 of the family's 2925-position model. Lineage: Bacteria; Pseudomonadati; Pseudomonadota; Gammaproteobacteria; Enterobacterales; Enterobacteriaceae. The record is from RNAcentral.
AUAAUGGGUCAGCGACUUAUAUUCUGUAGCAAGGUUAACCGAAUAGGGGAGCCGAAGGGAAACCGAGUCUUAACUGGGCGUUAAGUUGCAGGGUAUAGACCCGAAACCCGGUGAUCUAGCCAUGGGCAGGUUGAAGGUUGGGUAACACUAACUGGAGGACCGAACCGACUAAUGUUGAAAAAUUAGCGGAUGACUUGUGGCUGGGGGUGAAAGGCCAAUCAAACCGGGAGAUAGCUGGUUCUCCCCGAAAGCUAUUUAGGUAGCGCCUCGUGAAUUCAUCUCCGGGGGUAGAGCACUGUUUCGGCAAGGGGGUCAUCCCGACUUACCAACCCGAUGCAAACUGCGAAUACCGGAGAAUGUUAUCACGGGAGACACACGGCGGGUGCUAACGUCCGUCGUGAAGAGGGAAACAACCCAGACCGCCAGCUAAGGUCCCAAAGUCAUGGUUAAGUGGGAAACGAUGUGGGAAGGCCCAGACAGCCAGGAUGUUGGCUUAGAAGCAGCCAUCAUUUAAAGAAAGCGUAAUAGCUCACUGGUCGAGUCGGCCUGCGCGGAAGACGUAACGGGGCUAAACCAUGCACCGAAGCUGCGGCAGCGACGCUGAUGCGUUGUUGGGUAGGGGAGCGUUCUGUAAGCCUGUGAAGGUG